AGUGAGAUAGUCUAAAAAAGGCGUUAGAUUGUAGCUCUAGAAAUAACUUAUGUUUCUCAUAA
RNAcentral lists this transfer RNA (62 nucleotides) under Enchiridium sp. MTA_2015. Its description in RNAcentral is "tRNA-Tyr". The record is from RNAcentral. Lineage: Eukaryota; Metazoa; Platyhelminthes; Polycladida; Prosthiostomidae.